This 403-nucleotide ribosomal RNA is filed under the name uncultured Oscillibacter sp. RNAcentral's name for it is "bacterial SSU rRNA". It matches the Rfam family "Bacterial small subunit ribosomal RNA", at positions 356 to 774 of the family's 1533-position model. The record is from RNAcentral. Lineage: Bacteria; Bacillati; Bacillota; Clostridia; Eubacteriales; Oscillospiraceae.
GGGGAAUAUUGGGCAAUGGACGCAAGUCUGACCCAGCAACGCCGCGUGAAGGAAGAAGGCUUUCGGGUUGUAAACUUCUUUUAAGGGGGAAGAGUAGAAGACGGUACCCCUUGAAUAAGCCACGGCUAACUACGUGCCAGCAGCCGCGGUAAUACGUAGGUGGCAAGCGUUGUCCGGAUUUACUGGGUGUAAAGGGCGUGUAGCCGGGAAGGCAAGUCAGAUGUGAAAUCUGGAGGCUCAACCUCCAAACUGCAUUUGAAACUGGUCGUCUUGAGUGCAGUAAAGGUGGGCGGAAUUCGUGGUGUAGCGGUGAAAUGCUUAGAUAUCACGAAGAACUCCAAUUGCGAAGGCAGCUCACUGGAGUGUAACUGACGCUGAUGCUCGAAAGUGUGGGUAUCAAACA